This 2672-nucleotide ribosomal RNA is filed under the name Klebsiella pneumoniae. Its description in RNAcentral is "partial 23S ribosomal RNA". It matches the Rfam family "Bacterial large subunit ribosomal RNA". The record is from RNAcentral. Lineage: Bacteria; Pseudomonadati; Pseudomonadota; Gammaproteobacteria; Enterobacterales; Enterobacteriaceae.
CACUAUCGUUAACUGAAUACAUAGGUUAACGAGGCGAACCGGGGGAACUGAAACAUCUAAGUACCCCGAGGAAAAGAAAUCAACCGAGAUUCCCCCAGUAGCGGCGAGCGAACGGGGAGCAGCCCAGAGUCUGAAUCAGCUUGUGUGUUAGUGGAACGGUCUGGAAAGUCCGACGGUACAGGGUGAUAGUCCCGUACACCAAAAUGCACAGGUUGUGAACUCGAAGAGUAGGGCGGGACACGUGGUAUCCUGUCUGAAUAUGGGGGGACCAUCCUCCAAGGCUAAAUACUCCUGACUGACCGAUAGUGAACCAGUACCGUGAGGGAAAGGCGAAAAGAACCCCGGCGAGGGGAGUGAAAAAGAACCUGAAACCGUGUACGUACAAGCAGUGGGAGCACCUUCGGGUGUGACUGCGUACCUUUUGUAUAAUGGGUCAGCGACUUAUAUUCUGUAGCAAGGUUAACCGUAUAGGGGAGCCGCAGGGAAACCGAGUCUUAACUGGGCGUUAAGUUGCAGGGUAUAGACCCGAAACCCGGUGAUCUAGCCAUGGGCAGGUUGAAGGUUGGGUAACACUAACUGGAGGACCGAACCGACUAAUGUUGAAAAAUUAGCGGAUGACUUGUGGCUGGGGGUGAAAGGCCAAUCAAACCGGGAGAUAGCUGGUUCUCCCCGAAAGCUAUUUAGGUAGCGCCUCGUGAACUCAUCUUCGGGGGUAGAGCACUGUUUCGGCUAGGGGGUCAUCCCGACUUACCAACCCGAUGCAAACUACGAAUACCGAAGAAUGUUAUCACGGGAGACACACGGCGGGUGCUAACGUCCGUCGUGAAGAGGGAAACAACCCAGACCGCCAGCUAAGGUCCCAAAGUCAUGGUUAAGUGGGAAACGAUGUGGGAAGGCACAGACAGCCAGGAUGUUGGCUUAGAAGCAGCCAUCAUUUAAAGAAAGCGUAAUAGCUCACUGGUCGAGUCGGCCUGCGCGGAAGAUGUAACGGGGCUAAACCAUGCACCGAAGCUGCGGCAGCGACACUAUGUGUUGUUGGGUAGGGGAGCGUUCUGUAAGCCUGCGAAGGUGUGCUGUGAGGCAUGCUGGAGGUAUCAGAAGUGCGAAUGCUGACAUAAGUAACGAUAAAGCGGGUGAAAAGCCCGCUCGCCGGAAGACCAAGGGUUCCUGUCCAACGUUAAUCGGGGCAGGGUGAGUCGACCCCUAAGGCGAGGCCGAAAGGCGUAGUCGAUGGGAAACAGGUUAAUAUUCCUGUACUUGGUGUUACUGCGAAGGGGGGACGGAGAAGGCUAUGUUAGCCGGGCGACGGUUGUCCCGGUUUAAGCAUGUAGGCUGGUUGUCCAGGCAAAUCCGGAUAAUCAAGGCUGAGGUGUGAUGACGAGGCACUACGGUGCUGAAGUAACAAAUGCCCUGCUUCCAGGAAAAGCCUCUAAGCAUCAGGUAACAUUAAAUCGUACCCCAAACCGACACAGGUGGUCAGGUAGAGAAUACCAAGGCGCUUGAGAGAACUCGGGUGAAGGAACUAGGCAAAAUGGUGCCGUAACUUCGGGAGAAGGCACGCUGGUGUGUAGGUGAAGCCCCUGCGGGUGGAGCUGAGACCAGUCGAAGAUACCAGCUGGCUGCAACUGUUUAUUAAAAACACAGCACUGUGCAAACACGAAAGUGGACGUAUACGGUGUGACGCCUGCCCGGUGCCGGAAGGUUAAUUGAUGGGGUUAUCCGUAAGGAGAAGCUCUUGAUCGAAGCCCCGGUAAACGGCGGCCGUAACUAUAACGGUCCUAAGGUAGCGAAAUUCCUUGUCGGGUAAGUUCCGACCUGCACGAAUGGCGUAAUGAUGGCCAGGCUGUCUCCACCCGAGACUCAGUGAAAUUGAACUCGCUGUGAAGAUGCAGUGUACCCGCGGCAAGACGGAAAGACCCCGUGAACCUUUACUAUAGCUUGACACUGAACAUUGAGCCUUGAUGUGUAGGAUAGGUGGGAGGCUUUGAAGCGUGGACGCCAGUCUGCGUGGAGCCAACCUUGAAAUACCACCCUUUAAUGUUUGAUGUUCUAACGUUGGCCCCUGACCGGGGUUGCGGACAGUGUCUGGUGGGUAGUUUGACUGGGGCGGUCUCCUCCCAAAGCGUAACGGAGGAGCACGAAGGUUAGCUAAUCCUGGUCGGACAUCAGGAGGUUAGUGCAAUGGCAUAAGCUAGCUUGACUGCGAGCGUGACGGCGCGAGCAGGUGCGAAAGCAGGUCAUAGUGAUCCGGUGGUUCUGAAUGGAAGGGCCAUCGCUCAACGGAUAAAAGGUACUCCGGGGAUAACAGGCUGAUACCGCCCAAGAGUUCAUAUCGACGGCGGUGUUUGGCACCUCGAUGUCGGCUCAUCACAUCCUGGGGCUGAAGUAGGUCCCAAGGGUAUGGCUGUUCGCCAUUUAAAGUGGUACGCGAGCUGGGUUUAGAACGUCGUGAGACAGUUCGGUCCCUAUCUGCCGUGGGCGCUGGAGAAUUGAGGGGGGCUGCUCCUAGUACGAGAGGACCGGAGUGGACGCAUCACUGGUGUUCGGGUUGUCAUGCCAAUGGCACUGCCCGGUAGCUAAAUGCGGAAGAGAUAAGUGCUGAAAGCAUCUAAGCACGAAACUUGCCCCGAGAUGAGUUCUCCCUGAGACUUUAAGUCUCCUGAAGGAACGUU